This 492-nucleotide ribosomal RNA is filed under the name uncultured bacterium. RNAcentral's name for it is "partial 16S ribosomal RNA". It matches the Rfam family "Bacterial small subunit ribosomal RNA", at positions 29 to 507 of the family's 1533-position model. The record is from RNAcentral.
AGUGAACGCUGGCGGUAGGCCUAACACAUGCAAGUCGAACGGCAGCACAGUAAGAGCUUGCUCUUACGGGUGGCGAGUGGCGGACGGGUGAGGAAUACAUCGGAAUCUACUUUUUCGUGGGGGAUAACGUAGGGAAACUUACGCUAAUACCGCAUACGACCUACGGGUGAAAGCAGGGGAUCUUCGGACCUUGCGCGAUUGAAUGAGCCGAUGUCGGAUUAGCUAGUUGGCGGGGUAAAGGCCCACCAAGGCGACGAUCCGUAGCUGGUCUGAGAGGAUGAUCGGCAACACUGGAAAUGAGACACGGUCCAGACUCCUACGGGAGGCAGCAUUGGGGAAUCUUGGACAAUGGGCGCAAGCCUGACCGAGCAAUGCCGCGUGAGUGAAGAAGGCCUUCGGAUCGUAAAGCGCUUUUAUUAGGAAAGAAAAAAAGCAGAAUAAUAUCCCCGUGUCCUGACGGUACCUAAUGAAUAAGCCACGGCUAACUUCGUG